Molecule: ribosomal RNA, 256 nt
Filed under: uncultured bacterium
Lineage: Bacteria
Description: partial 16S ribosomal RNA
Rfam family: Bacterial small subunit ribosomal RNA
Source: RNAcentral
GACGUAGGUGGCGAACGUUAUCCGGAAUUAUUGGGCGUAAAGGGUGCGUAGGUGGCCUGACAAGUUAUCAGUGGCAAAUCGAGGCUCAACCUCGUGGAAACUGGUAAUACUGUCCGGCUUGAGUACAGGAGAGGUUAACGGAACUCUAUGUGGAGCGGUAAAAUGCACAGAUAUAUAGAAGAACAACAAUAAAGGCGAAGGCAGUUAACUAUUCUGUUACUGACGCUGAGGCACGAAAGCGUGGGGAGCAAAACGG